ACAGAUGGGAGCUUGCUCCCUGAUGUUAGCGGCGGACGGGUGAGUAACACGUGGGUAACCUGCCUGUAAGACUGGGAUAACUCCGGGAAACCGGGGCUAAUACCGGAUGGUUGUUUGAACCGCAUGGUUCAAACAUAAAAGGUGGCUUCGGCUACCACUUACAGAUGGACCCGCGGCGCAUUAGCUAGUUGGUGAGGUAACGGCUCACCAAGGCAACGAUGCGUAGCCGACCUGAGAGGGUGAUCGGCCACACUGGGACUGAGACACGGCCCAGACUCCUACGGGAGGCAGCAGUAGGGAAUCUUCCGCAAUGGACGAAAGUCUGACGGAGCAACGCCGCGUGAGUGAUGAAGGUUUUCGGAUCGUAAAGCUCUGUUGUUAGGGAAGAACAAGUACCGUUCGAAUAGGGCGGUACCUUGACGGUACCUAACCAGAAAGCCACGGCUAACUACGUGCCAGCAGCCGCGGUAAUACGUAGGUGGCAAGCGUUGUCCGGAAUUAUUGGGCGUAAAGGGCUCGCAGGCGGUUUCUUAAGUCUGAUGUGAAAGCCCCCGGCUCAACCGGGGAGGGUCAUUGGAAACUG
This 583-nucleotide ribosomal RNA is filed under the name Bacillus subtilis. RNAcentral describes it as "bacterial SSU rRNA". It matches the Rfam family "Bacterial small subunit ribosomal RNA", at positions 69 to 635 of the family's 1533-position model. The record is from RNAcentral. Lineage: Bacteria; Bacillati; Bacillota; Bacilli; Caryophanales; Bacillaceae.